Molecule: transfer RNA, 66 nt
Filed under: Paramphistomum leydeni
Lineage: Eukaryota; Metazoa; Platyhelminthes; Trematoda; Plagiorchiida; Paramphistomidae
Description: tRNA-Pro
Source: RNAcentral
CAGUUUAAUAGUUUAAUAUAAGAAUGCGGGUUUUGGGGACCUGAGGUCUCUUUUGGAGUAAAUUGA